CAUGUAGUUAGCCGGCGCUUCUUAUCCAGCUACCGUCAACCCACCCACAAAAGAGGCGGGCCUGCUUCACUGGCGAAAGAGGUUUACAACCCGAAGGCCUCCAUCCCUCACGCGGCGUCGCUGCAUCAGGCUUGCGCCCAUUGUGCAAUAUUCCCCACUGCUGCCUCCCGUAGGAGUCUGGGCCGUGUCUCAGUCCCAGUGUGACCGUCCACCCUCUCAGGCCGGCUACCCGUCACCGCCUUGGUAGGCCAUCACCCCACCAACAAGCUGAUAGGCCGCGAGCCCAUCCCCCACCGAAGCAAUACUCUUUCCCACACCCACAUGCAGCAGGCGCAGAAUACUCCCGGUAUUACGCCACGUACUUUCAUGCGGUUAUCCGAGAAGGAGGGGCAGGUUACUCACGUGUUACUCACCCGUUCGCCACUCACUCCAGAACCAGACCAAAACCGGUCCCU
RNAcentral lists this ribosomal RNA (455 nucleotides) under uncultured Actinomyces sp. RNAcentral describes it as "partial 16S ribosomal RNA". The record is from RNAcentral. Lineage: Bacteria; Bacillati; Actinomycetota; Actinomycetes; Actinomycetales; Actinomycetaceae.